Molecule: long non-coding RNA, 2010 nt
Filed under: Malus domestica (apple)
Lineage: Eukaryota; Viridiplantae; Streptophyta; Magnoliopsida; Rosales; Rosaceae
Description: long non-coding RNA (MDOM_LNC021047)
Source: RNAcentral
GAAUUCCCCCCUAGCUAAGGGGGGUUUAGUUCCUCAUACUUACAAAGCAAAGAUAAAGAAAUUUAGACAUUGAAAACAAAAGAAAGAAAACACCUAAAAAUGCUCCAACAAUCCAACUUGAAUGGCAAGCACGUCCAAGGGUCCUCCUUCUUGUCUUUGUUGCGGCACAAGGUGUGGUUUGAUGGAUGAGUGGUAAAUUAUGGUGGUGGAUGUAUAUAGGUGAGUUAUGGUGAAGGGUGGAUGGGUGGAUUAUGUUCUCUCUGGUUUUUUUCCCCCUUGUUAUGGUGAAGGGUGGAUGUAUUUAUAGGCUAGGGAGAGGACCACCAUCUAAUUAAGGUGGUAGUGAUGAGUGUUGUGGUAAUGAGUGGAUGUAAUGGGUGUAGUUUUGGUAAUGAGUGGAUGUAAUGGGUGUAGUGGAUGGAUGUUUGGUAAUGAGUGGAUGUAAUGGGUGUAGUGGAUGAGUGUUUGUAGUUGUAGGUCAACACAUUUGCACACACACAUGCUGAUUUCUAGCCUUCUAAUCUUAAAAAACAUCCAUCCUCAUGUCUCCAUGCUUGCAUUAUCUAAUCUUGGCCCAAAAAUGCUCCAAAGUGCUCCAAAUAGCACUUUGUUGCCAACUUUGUUAUUUGAACCUACAAACACACGAAAAUAGCUUAAAGUACUAAAAUAACUAGAAUUAAACUAAGUAAAUGCCAACAAACAAGCUCACUAAGUUCCAUAAAUAUGCUCCUAUCAAAUUCCCCCACACUUAGCUUUUGCUAGUCCUCGAGCAAAACAAAAGAAACAAAACAAAACAAAACAAACAAAACACAACCUAACCUUCCAACAUUUGCCUCAGGGAUUUCCAAUGCACAUGACAUGUUAAAAAUCAUCAUUCCCACAGAUUUUGGUUAUCUUCACACUUGAGCACAAACUGAAUCACAGUCACUACUUACUAGUUCACAAUUAACCAAUUAAAACAAUGUUUUGAAUGUAGUAACAUGCCUUAGAGAAUUUGCUCGAUUCCUUACAAGAUACUAUCUAUUUUCACACACAUUUUCUGACUACAUACCCUACACUAGUAUAUGUGAGAAGAUUAAUGUAAACACGAAAGACUAUGAGUAACAUAUGUUAUAACAAAGAAAGCAAUUUUCUAGAGUUAUUAAGCAUGUUUAGAUAUGAUCUCAUGAAUGGAAUGCUACUACUUAGAUGCGAGAACCAGUGACACCAUAUGCUCAUACCAAUUUCGAACUCCAUAAAUUGAAACACACAACACUCAAGAUUGAAGUCAAGGGUUGUAACAGGGCUUGGGGGUAAUGACUAAUAAAGAAAGGAUAGGAAUAACAAACGUUCUUAAAGCGAUAGCAAGUAAAGCAAUGAAAUAGACACUUGGAAUUCACUUUAGAAUGCAUAAUCAACUUUUAAAUACAAAGGGAAGAUUCAUGUAACACUUAGGGCCGAAUUUAAUGUUUUGGACCCUUUUUUUAACAAACUUUUUUCUUUUCACUCUUUUUUUUUUUUUUUCUACCCGUGCCUUAUUAAGGACUUUGGCACACACACACACACACACAAUAAUCACUUCCCCCACACUUGCUUUCUGCAAUACAUUGAUCAAAAAGGAGUUCAUUUUAAGUCAUGCUUUACUAUGCUUCAAGAACAAGGGUAUGGAUGGUCCUAAAACUAGGCUAGGUAAGGAUAGUGUGGAUUAACAAAGAACAUAGGCUUAACAAGGCUCAACGGGGUUAAACUUAAACACAUAAUGAAAUAAGGGCACGGCAAUUUGGCUUUGGUGGUCACUACACAACUUCAUCUUGAAAAUGUGUUAUGCAAAUCAAUAGCAUGUUUUGAAUGAAAUAGGCAUGAGUUCUAGCAUUUGGAACUAAAUGAUGAAACACCUUCUAAGUAGCAACAAGCAAAGAAUAAUGAGAUCAUGCAACGACUUUAGAAAACAAUGAUGCAUAGAUUAUUAACUCUCCAAAUAAACGUUUAGGCUCAAGUCUCACAAGGUUGUAUCAUACAUUUGAGUUCCUU